This 190-nucleotide ribosomal RNA is filed under the name Escherichia coli. Its description in RNAcentral is "partial 23S ribosomal RNA". It matches the Rfam family "Bacterial large subunit ribosomal RNA", at positions 2741 to 2925 of the family's 2925-position model. Lineage: Bacteria; Pseudomonadati; Pseudomonadota; Gammaproteobacteria; Enterobacterales; Enterobacteriaceae. RNAcentral also lists the same sequence under 1 other name. The record is from RNAcentral.
CCCGGUAGCUAAAUGCGGAAGAGAUAAGUGCUGAAAGCAUCUAAGCACGAAACUUGCCCCGAGAUGAGUUCUCCCUGAGACUUUAAGUCUCCUGAAGGAACGUUGAAGACGACGACGUUGAUAGGCCGGGUGUGUAAGCGCAGCGAUGCGUUGAGCUAACCGGUACUAAUGAACCGUGAGGCUUAACCUU